Non-coding RNA from Pelobates cultripes (western spadefoot toad), 299 nucleotides. The record is from the annotation of a GenBank genome assembly. Lineage: Eukaryota; Metazoa; Chordata; Amphibia; Anura; Pelobatidae.
AUGUGACAUCACAAUGCCCCGCCCAUAUGCUCUGCCAUAUGGGCCAAUGCCAGUCUUCACAAAGUGUCUUUUAUCUGAAAAGACAGUGUGUUUACAUUAAAAAGCCUACAGGCACAGGCUAUAGACACCAGAACCACUACAUUAAGCUGUAGUGCUUCUGUAUCCAUUUAAUGUGAGGUAAAUUAGAGAUUAGUGUCACUAAUAAUAUAUUGGAUUGCCUACUUGCCACCAGAUGAGGACAAGAGGCUGAUGAUGGGCUCAGUCUGGCUCCACAGGUCUGGUGUAGAAGAGGCUCUCUG